RNAcentral lists this ribosomal RNA (492 nucleotides) under uncultured bacterium. RNAcentral's name for it is "partial 16S ribosomal RNA". It matches the Rfam family "Bacterial small subunit ribosomal RNA", at positions 29 to 507 of the family's 1533-position model. The record is from RNAcentral.
AGUGAACGCUGGCGGUAUGCCUAACACAUGCAAGUCGAACGGCAACACAGUAAGUGCUUGCUCUUACGGGUGGCGGGUGGCGGACGUGUGAGGAAUACAUCGUACUCUACUUUUUCGUGGGGGAUAACGUAGGGAAACUUACGAUAAUACCGCAUACGACCUACGGGUGAAAGCAGGGGAUCUUCGGACCUUGCGCGAUAGCAUGAGCCGAUGUCGUAUUAGCUAGUGGGCGGGGUAAAGGCCCACCACGGCGACGAUCCGUAGCUGGUCUGAGAGGAGGAUCAGCCAAACUGGAACGGAGACACGGUCCAGACUCCUAGGGGAGGCAGCAGUGGGGAAUAUUGGACAAUGGGCGAAAGCCUGAUGCAGCCAUACCGCGUGGGUGAAGAAGGCCUUCGGGUUGUAAAGCCCUUUUGUUGGGAAAGAAAAGCAGCAGGUUAAUACCCCGCUGUUCUGACGGUACCCAAAGAAUAAGCACCGGCUAACUUCGUG